GUUUGCAAAAACAUAAAAAGGUUUUUCAAUACGCAAAGAAACUAUGUAGUGAUGUGUAAUAACCUUUGAUUUCAUUGAUAGCAUUAAAUGCUGAAUUCAAUAGUGAGCUAUCGAGAUUAAAAAUAGGCGUAAUAAUAGAUUGUGGUUAAUAUCAUAUCUAUCCUUUUGAAGUAUUCAGCAGAAUUUUUAGAAGCAGCAGAAGUUAACACUUAGGGAGAAAGGAAAAUAACGUAGUCGGUGGGCAUUGUCACAUGCUUGCUUCAUAAAUAUUAUGGUUUGAGAUUGUACGAAGAAGAGUAAAAUGAUGUUCAUUUUUCACUUCUCUAUAUUGAUACCAGAAAAUAGAAAUGUUUCUCAUGUAUUUCUAUUUCGAGUAAUCUUGCUCACUUAAUCAGCAAUAUAUUUUUAAUUUAAUUUUGAUACAAAAAAAAUUACGUUUUUAACACAGGGCUCGAAAAUUAUUAGAACAAAAACUAAGGACGUAGGAGAGGAGGGUGAGAAGUUAAGUGCCAUUCAAGUUUCGUCCCUUCAUGAUGAUGACUGUACGACGCUGAAACCAAGCAAAACAGGAAUAAGGAUUAUCUCUCACCUUUCUAUAAUCUUCAUCAAAAGUAAGGACAGAAAAUGUUUGGCCUAAAGAUCCUGUUAUCAAAGAUAUAGCACCAGCAGAUCCUCCUAGAAUGAAAUGUCAUUUCUUAAUUCAAGAUAUUAUUGGAAAAAUUAGUACGAUUUCAGUGCUAACCUUUGAAUAGUUUACUAAGUAGGUAAAGCAGUCUUUUAAUAUAGAUGUUUCGAUACAUUUAAAAUAUUUUCUUAAGUUCACGAACGUAUUUUUCCACAAUGCCCUUAAAUUGUUGAAAUAAGUUUUAUUUUAAUACACACAGUA
Molecule: non-coding RNA, 886 nt
Organism: Parasteatoda tepidariorum (common house spider)
Lineage: Eukaryota; Metazoa; Arthropoda; Arachnida; Araneae; Theridiidae
Source: RefSeq, a predicted model, not a curated record